GGUAGAUGGCUCAGUGGUAGAGUGCUUGCCUUGCAUGCAUGAGACCCUGGGUUCAAUUCCUCAGCACCA
Molecule: transfer RNA, 69 nt
Filed under: Dipodomys ordii (Ord's kangaroo rat)
Lineage: Eukaryota; Metazoa; Chordata; Mammalia; Rodentia; Heteromyidae
Rfam family: tRNA
About the family: Transfer RNA (tRNA) molecules are approximately 80 nucleotides in length. Their secondary structure includes four short double-helical elements and three loops (D, anti-codon, and T loops). Further hydrogen bonds mediate the characteristic L-shaped molecular structure. tRNAs have two regions of fundamental functional importance: the anti-codon, which is responsible for specific mRNA codon recognition, and the 3' end, to which the tRNAs corresponding amino acid is attached (by aminoacyl-tRNA synthetases). tRNAs cope with the degeneracy of the genetic code in two manners: having more than one tRNA (with a specific anti-codon) for a particular amino acid; and 'wobble' base-pairing, i.e. permitting non-standard base-pairing at the 3rd anti-codon position.
Source: Rfam by way of RNAcentral